UACGAAGGGGGCUAGCGUUGUUCGGAUUCAUUGGGCGUAAAGGGUGCGUAGGCGGCGCGGUAAGUCGGGUGUGAAAUCUCGGAGCUUAACUCCGAAACUGCAUUCGAUACUGCCGUGCUUGAGGACUGGAGAGGAGUGUGGAAUUCCUGGUGGAGCGGUGAAAUGCGCAGAGAUCAGGAGGAACACCCGUAGCGAAGGCGGCACUCUGGGCCGAUACUGACACUGAGGAGCGAAAGCGUGGGGAGCGAACAGG
This 253-nucleotide ribosomal RNA is filed under the name uncultured bacterium. RNAcentral's name for it is "partial 16S ribosomal RNA". It matches the Rfam family "Bacterial small subunit ribosomal RNA", at positions 524 to 776 of the family's 1533-position model. The record is from RNAcentral.